Molecule: non-coding RNA, 106 nt
Filed under: Actinomycetota bacterium
Lineage: Bacteria; Bacillati; Actinomycetota
Description: Actinobacteria bacterium TPP sequence
Rfam family: TPP riboswitch aptamer (THI element)
About the family: Vitamin B(1) in its active form thiamin pyrophosphate (TPP) is an essential coenzyme that is synthesised by coupling of pyrimidine and thiazole moieties in bacteria. The previously detected thiamin-regulatory element, thi box was extended, resulting in a new, highly conserved RNA secondary structure, the THI element, which is widely distributed in eubacteria and also occurs in some archaea.
Source: RNAcentral
CAACACGAACAGGGGAGCGCGCGGCGCUGAGAGUGCGGCGAUGAUGCCGCAGACCCUCCAACCUGAUCUGGGUAAUGCCAGCGCAGGGAGUUCGGGAGCUCCAGCC